AGUGAACGCUGGCGGUAUGCCUAACACAUGCAAGUCGAACGGGAGCACAGUAAGAGCUUGCUCUUACGGGUGUCGAGUGUCGGACGGGUGAGUUAUACAUCGGAAUCUACUUUUUCGUGGGGGAUAACGUAAGGAAACUUACGCUAAUACAGCAUUCGACCUAUUGGUGUAAGCAGGGGUUCUUUUGACUUUUCGCUAUUGUAUGAGCCGAUGUCGGAUUCGCUAGUUGGCUGGUUAAAGGCGCAACAGGGCCACGAUCCGUAGCGGGUAUGAGUGGAUGAUACGACACCUGGGCAGAGAGACAGGGUCGCCACUCCUACGGGAGGCAGCAGCGGGGACUCUUAGACAAUGGAGGAAAGGCUGAUACUGCAAUACCGCGUGAGUGAAGAAGGCCUUCGGGUUGUAAAGCGAUUAUGUUGGGAAAGAAAAGAAGCAGGUUAACCCCCCGCUGUACUGACGGUACCCAAAGAAUAAGCACCGGCUAACUUCGUG
RNAcentral lists this ribosomal RNA (492 nucleotides) under uncultured bacterium. RNAcentral describes it as "partial 16S ribosomal RNA". It matches the Rfam family "Bacterial small subunit ribosomal RNA", at positions 29 to 507 of the family's 1533-position model. The record is from RNAcentral.